Molecule: ribosomal RNA, 310 nt
Filed under: uncultured bacterium
Lineage: Bacteria
Description: bacterial SSU rRNA
Rfam family: Bacterial small subunit ribosomal RNA
Source: RNAcentral
GAUGAACGCUAGCGGGAGGCUUAACACAUGCAAGUCGAGGGGUAAAUGGCAGCAAUGCUAUGAGACCGGCGAACGGGUGCGUAACGCGUAUGCAACUUACCUUAUGCAGGGGGAUAGCCCGUGGAAACGCGGAUUAAUAUCCCAUAGAUCAGUGGUAUCGCAUGGUACAGCUGGUAAAGCUCAGGUGGCAUAAGAUGGGCAUGCGUCUGAUUAGCUGGUUGGUAGGGUAACGGCCUACCAAGGCGACGAUCAGUAGGGGUUCUGAGAGGACUUAACCCCCACACUGGUACUGAGACACGGACCAGACUCC